This 292-nucleotide ribosomal RNA is filed under the name uncultured bacterium. RNAcentral describes it as "partial 16S ribosomal RNA". It matches the Rfam family "Bacterial small subunit ribosomal RNA", at positions 505 to 796 of the family's 1533-position model. The record is from RNAcentral.
GUGUCAGCAGCCGCGGUAAUACGUAGGGGGCGAGCGUUGUCCGGAUUUAUUGGGCGUAAAGCGCGGGCAGGCGGCCCCGUAAGUCGGCCGUGAAAGCGCCGGGCUCAACUCGGCGAGGACGGGCGAGACUGCAGGGCUCGAGAGAGGUAGAGGGCGGUGGAAUUCCGGGUGUAGUGGUGGAAUGCGUAGAGCUCCGGAGGAACACCAGUGGCGAAGGCGGCCGCCUGGGCCUUUUCUGACGCUGAGCCGCGAAAGCGUGGGGAGCGAGCCGGAUUAGAUACCCGUGUAGUCC